RNAcentral lists this ribosomal RNA (253 nucleotides) under uncultured bacterium. RNAcentral's name for it is "partial 16S ribosomal RNA". It matches the Rfam family "Bacterial small subunit ribosomal RNA", at positions 524 to 776 of the family's 1533-position model. The record is from RNAcentral.
UACGUAGGGUGCAAGCGUUGUCCGGAAUUAUUGGGCGUAAAGAGCUCGUAGGCGGUUUGUCGCGUCUGCUGUGAAAACCUAAGGCUCAACCUUGGGCUUGCAGUGGGUACGGGCAGACUAGAGUGCGGUAGGGGAGACUGGAAUUCCUGGUGUAGCGGUGAAAUGCGCAGAUAUCAGGAGGAACACCGAUGGCGAAGGCAGGUCUCUGGGCCACUACUGACGCUGAGAAGCGAAAGCAUGGGGAGCGAACAGG